UACGUAGGCGGCAAGCGUUGUCCGGAAUUAUUGGGUGUAAAGGGUGCGUAGACGGGAAAUUAAGUUAGUAGUGGAAUCCCCAGGCUCAACUUGGGAAUUGCUACUAAGACUGGUUUUCUUGAGUACUGGAGAGGAAAGUGGAAUUCCUAGUGUAGCGGUGAAAUGCGUAGAUAUUAGGAGGAACACCAGUGGCGAAGGCGACUUUCUGGACAGAAACUGACGUUGAGGCACGAAAGUGUGGGGAGCAAAC
RNAcentral lists this ribosomal RNA (250 nucleotides) under uncultured prokaryote. RNAcentral's name for it is "partial 16S ribosomal RNA". It matches the Rfam family "Bacterial small subunit ribosomal RNA", at positions 524 to 773 of the family's 1533-position model. The record is from RNAcentral.